This 196-nucleotide ribosomal RNA is filed under the name uncultured bacterium. RNAcentral describes it as "partial 16S ribosomal RNA". It matches the Rfam family "Bacterial small subunit ribosomal RNA", at positions 337 to 525 of the family's 1533-position model. The record is from RNAcentral.
UCCUACGGGAGGCAGCAGUGGGGAAUAUUGCACAAUGGGCGCAAGCCUGAUGCAGCCAUGCCGCGUGUAUGAAGAAGGCCUUCGGGUUGUAAAGUACUUUCAGCGGGGAGGAAGGGAGUAAAGUUAAUACCUUUACUCAUUGACGUUACCCGCAGAAGAAGCACCGGCUAACUCCGUGCCAGCAGCCGCGGUAAUA